AUGGGGGGCGCGGCGUCGAGGCUCGCCGCCCCGAUAAAGCACCGGCGGGUGGAGAGGGAGCUGGACAACAAGGUGGCGGAGGCGCUGCGGGAGCGGGCCAAGGCGAGGAAGAAGACGUUCCGGUCGGUGAACAGCAUCACCAUGCGCCUCCCUCGCUUCAAGGACGGCCUCAAGGACAUCCGGGACGUCUUCGACCUCUACGACACGGACUCCAACGGGACGAUCGACAACGAGGAGCUGCGGAGCUGCCUGAGCAAGCUCGAGGUGCGGAUGUCGGAGAAGGAAGCCGACGACGUGCACCGCUACUGCGACGUCGACAGCCGCAAGGGGAUCCAGUUCCAGGAGUUCGUCGUCCUCAUCUGCCUCAUGUACCUGCUCUUCGGCCCAAACGUCACGCGCCGGGUUUCCGAGUUCGAGUCGGACAAGCUCAACUACAUCUUCGACGAGCUCAUCGACGCCUUCCUCUUCUUCAACAGGGACGGCGACGGCAAGGUGACCAGGAAAGACGUCACCCAGAGGAUGAACGAGGAGUCUGACCGGGAGAGGACGCCCACCCACAUCACCACACAGCUCUUCAAGGAGAUGGACCUGAACAAGAACGGCAAGGUGAACCUCAAGGAGUUCCUCUUCUCCAUGAUCAGAUGGGCAGGGCUCGAGCCCGAGGAAGGAGAUGAAAGCAACGACACUUCUCUGUAG
Molecule: ribosomal RNA, 696 nt
Filed under: Triticum aestivum (bread wheat)
Lineage: Eukaryota; Viridiplantae; Streptophyta; Magnoliopsida; Poales; Poaceae
Description: partial small subunit ribosomal RNA
Source: RNAcentral